GAUGAACGCUAGCGGCAGGCCUAACACAUGCAAGUCGAGGGAGAAGCCCUUUCGGGGGCAGAAACCGGCGCACGGGUGCGUAACGCGUAUGCAACCUACCUUUCACCGGGGGAUAGCCCGAAGAACUUGGGAUUAAUACCCCAUAAUAUUAUUGGAUGGCAUCAUUUGAUAAUUAAAACUGCGGUGGUGAAAGAUGGGCAUGCGUCCUAUUAGCUAGUUGGAGUGGUAACGGCACCCCAAGGCUACGAUAGGAAGGGGUCCUGAGAGGGAGAGCCCCCACACGGGUACUGAGACAGGGACGAGACUGCUACGGGAGGCAGCAGUGAGGAAUGUAGGUGAAGGGUCGGAAGACUGAACCAGCCAUGCCGCGUGCAGGAAGAAUGCGUUCGGGGUUGUAAACUGCUUUUAGAUGGGAAGUAUAAGGCGUACGGGUACGUUGAUGACGGUACCAUAUGAAUAAGCAUCGGCUAACUCCGUG
RNAcentral lists this ribosomal RNA (478 nucleotides) under uncultured bacterium. RNAcentral's name for it is "partial 16S ribosomal RNA". It matches the Rfam family "Bacterial small subunit ribosomal RNA", at positions 28 to 507 of the family's 1533-position model. The record is from RNAcentral.